Leptinotarsa decemlineata (Colorado potato beetle) is the source of this 362-nucleotide long non-coding RNA. RefSeq lists it as uncharacterized. The record is from RefSeq and is a predicted model, not a curated record. NCBI's taxonomy places the organism in Eukaryota, Metazoa, Arthropoda, Insecta, Coleoptera, Chrysomelidae.
GCAAUUUUUAAAACUAAAAGCAGCAAACAUGGCAACAACAACAAUAUCGUUCUAUUGUGGCGAACGAGAUACUGUUGUGGAUCUCAAACUUUCUCCUGCAGAUGCUGAACGUGCGUUAACAGAUACAGUUUUUGCUACAAAAUUAGUAACAAAAGCCUCCAAUCAACAAUCAGGACCAUCGACAUCGACUAAUGUUGAUAACGACCUUUCUUUAUCUAAUGAUGCUUUUAACAAUAAUUCUAGGACAUCCGGGAACACGUCGGACUAAAUCUUCUUGUAUCAGCUCAUGUAAAUAAUUUAAUGUACAUCUUGAAAGUCUAAAGAGAUCAAUAAAGAAUUCCAUGAGUAAAAUUUUCAAAAUC